CUACGGGCUGCACCAGUGGGGAAUAUUGCACAAUGGAGGAAACUCUGAUGCAGCAACGCCGCGUGGAGGAUGACACUUUUCGGAGCGUAAACUCCUUUUAUAUAGGAAGAAGAUGACGGUACUAUAUGAAUAAGCGCCGGCUAACUCCGUGCCAGCAGCCGCGGUAAUACGGAGAGCGCAAGCGUUAAUCGGAAUCACUGGGCGUAAAGAGCGUGUAGGCGGAUUAAAAAGUCAGAAGUGAAAUCCUAUAGCUUAACUAUAGAACUGCUUCUGAAACUCUUAAUCUAGAAUAUGGGAGAGGUAGAUGGAAUUUCUGGUGUAGGGGUAAAAUCCGUAGAGAUCAGAAGGAAUACCGAUUGCGAAGGCGAUCUACUAGAACAUUAUUGACGCUGAGACGCGAAAGCGUGGGGAGCAAACAGGAUUAGAUACCCCUGAGUC
Molecule: ribosomal RNA, 438 nt
Filed under: uncultured bacterium
Lineage: Bacteria
Description: partial 16S ribosomal RNA
Rfam family: Bacterial small subunit ribosomal RNA
Source: RNAcentral